This 253-nucleotide ribosomal RNA is filed under the name uncultured bacterium. RNAcentral describes it as "partial 16S ribosomal RNA". It matches the Rfam family "Bacterial small subunit ribosomal RNA", at positions 524 to 776 of the family's 1533-position model. The record is from RNAcentral.
UACGUAGGGUGCGAGCGUUAAUCGGAAUUACUGGGCGUAAAGCGUGCGCAGGCGGGUUUGUAAGCCAGGUGUGAAAUCCCCGGGCUCAACCUGGGAAUGGCAUUUGGGACUGCAAGGCUGGAGUGCGGCAGAGGAGACUGGAAUUCCUGGUGUAGCAGUGAAAUGCGUAGAUAUCAGGAGGAACACCGAUGGCGAAGGCAGGUCUCUGGGCUGACACUGACGCUCAUGCACGAAAGCGUGGGGAGCAAACAGG